GAUGAACGCUAGCGAUAGGCUUAACACAUGCAAGUCGAGGGGCAGCACAGGGUAGCUUGCUAUCUGGGUGGCGACCGGCGCACGGGUGCGUAACGCGUAUGCAACUUGCCCUAUACAGGAGGAUAACCCGUCGAAAGACGGACUAAUACUGCGUAUGCUCACAACUUGGCAUCAAGUGGUGAGGAAAGAAAUUCGGUAUAGGAUAGGCGUGCGUCCCAUUAGCUUGUUGGUGAGGUAACGGCUCACCAAGGCAACGAUGGGUAGGGGAACUGAGAGGUUUAUCCCCCACACUGGUACUGAGACACGGACCAGACUCCUACGGGAGGCAGCAGUGAGGAAUAUUGGUCAAUGGGCGCGAGCCUGAACCAGCCAAGUCGCGUGAAGGAUGACUGUCUUAUGGAUUGUAAACUUCUUUUAUACGGGAAUAACAAGAGUCACGUGUGACUCCCUGCAUGUACCGUAUGAAUAAGCAGCGGCUAACUCCGUG
This 487-nucleotide ribosomal RNA is filed under the name uncultured bacterium. Its description in RNAcentral is "partial 16S ribosomal RNA". It matches the Rfam family "Bacterial small subunit ribosomal RNA", at positions 28 to 507 of the family's 1533-position model. The record is from RNAcentral.